UUUUGGACAAUGGGCGCAAGCCUGAUCCAGCAAUGCCGCGUGAGUGAAGAAGGCCUUCGGGUUGUAAAGCUCUUUUGUCAGGGAAGAAACGGUGAGCUCUAAUACAGUUUGCUAAUGACGGUACCUGAAGAAUAAGCACCGGCUAACUACGUGCCAGCAGCCGCGGUAAUACGUAGGGUGCAAGCGUUAAUCGGAAUUACUGGGCGUAAAGCGUGCGCAGGCGGUUAUGUAAGUCAGAUGUGAAAUCCCCGGGCUCAACCUGGGAAUGGCAUUUGAGACUGCAUGGCUAGAGUGUGUCAGAGGGGGGUAGAAUUCCACGUGUAGCAGUGAAAUGCGUAGAGAUGUGGAGGAAUACCGAUGGCGAAGGCAGCCCCCUGAGAUAACACUGACGCUCAUGCACGAAA
This 404-nucleotide ribosomal RNA is filed under the name uncultured bacterium. RNAcentral describes it as "bacterial SSU rRNA". It matches the Rfam family "Bacterial small subunit ribosomal RNA", at positions 362 to 758 of the family's 1533-position model. The record is from RNAcentral.